CAAAGGAUAUGUCUUUUCCUCUGCUUGAAAAGAGACUUUGAAGAAGUUGGAAAAUUGUCAGACUUGUCCGAUUCUGACCCAGAGAUUGUUAUUAGAAAAUCCUCCGACUUUGAUCUUGCUGAUACACUGCCAUGGGAACCUAUGGAUGAGAGCAGUCGUUU
Poeciliopsis prolifica (blackstripe livebearer) is the source of this 161-nucleotide long non-coding RNA. RefSeq lists it as uncharacterized. The record is from RefSeq and is a predicted model, not a curated record. NCBI's taxonomy places the organism in Eukaryota, Metazoa, Chordata, Actinopteri, Cyprinodontiformes, Poeciliidae. The transcript is spliced from 3 exons.